CACAGAAGUGGACUCUGCAGCCCAGUCUCUUCGUUUGCAUCUUGGUUUGGGCCCAUGUGCACUCAUCCCUCUGGCUGUUUCCAUGGCUGAGCAGGAUCCAUCCUUUCCCGUGGCUGAGCAAGAGCUGAGCUUUCGCUCGCCGUCCACCACUGCUGAAUGUCACCGUCGCAGACCUGCCACUGACUUCCACCCCUCCGGAUCCGACAGGGUGUCCGCUGCGCUCCUGAUCCAGCGAGGCGCCCAUUGCUGCCCCCGAUUGGGCUAGAGGUUCGCCAUUUUCCCACACGGCUAAGUGCCCGGGUUCAUCCUAAUCGAGCUGAACACUAGUUGCUGGGUUCCACGGUUCUCUUCUGUGACCCACGGCUUCUAAGAGAGCUAUAAUACUCACCGCAUGGCCCAAGCUUCCAUUCCUUGGAAUCCGUGAGGCCAAGAACCCGAGGUCAGAGAACAAGAGGCUUGCCGCCAUCUUGGAAACGGCCGCCACCAUCUUUGGGAGGUCUAAGAACAAGGACCCUCCACCCCGUAACAUUUUGGCAACCAUGAAGGGAACUCCAAAGCAAAUCGAAGCUGUAAAACUACACAUCGUUCUUCAGAUGGAGCCCCAGGUGCAGUCCAUGACUGAGAUCUACCACGGACCCAGGGACCAGCCUGCUAGCCUAUGCUCUGAUGUUGAUGAUAUCAAAGGCACCGCUCCCGAGGAAAUCUCAACUGCGCAACCCCUACUGUACCCCAAUUCAGCAGGAAGCAGUUAGAGUGGUCACCGGCCAACCUCCCCAACAGCACUUGGGUUUUCCUGUUGAGAGCGGGGACUGAGUGACAGGACUAGCUGGAUUUCCUAGGCCGAC
Rhinopithecus roxellana (golden snub-nosed monkey) is the source of this 845-nucleotide long non-coding RNA. RefSeq lists it as uncharacterized. The transcript has 3 exons. The record is from RefSeq and is a predicted model, not a curated record. NCBI's taxonomy places the organism in Eukaryota, Metazoa, Chordata, Mammalia, Primates, Cercopithecidae.